GACAGAGGGUGCAAACGUUGCUCGGAAUCACUGGGCGUAAAGGGCGUGUAGGCGGGACAGUAAGUCGGGCGUGAAAUCCCUGGGCUCAACCCAGGAACUGCACUCGAAACUACUAUUCUUGAGUGUCGGAGAGGAAAGCGGAAUUCCUGGUGUAGAGGUGAAAUUCGUAGAUAUCAGGAGGAACACCGGUGGCGAAGGCGGCUCUCUGGACCGAUACGUGACGCUGAGG
RNAcentral lists this ribosomal RNA (229 nucleotides) under uncultured bacterium. RNAcentral's name for it is "partial 16S ribosomal RNA". It matches the Rfam family "Bacterial small subunit ribosomal RNA", at positions 524 to 751 of the family's 1533-position model. The record is from RNAcentral.